AUUGAACGCUGGCGGCAGGCCUAACACAUGCAAGUCGAGCGGAUGAAGGGAGCUUGCUCCUGGAUUCAGCGGCGGACGGGUGAGUAAUGCCUAGGAAUCUGCCUGGUAGUGGGGGAUAACGUCCGGAAACGGGCGCUAAUACCGCAUACGUCCUGAGGGAGAAAGUGGGGGAUCUUCGGACCUCACGCUAUCAGAUGAGCCUAGGUCGGAUUAGCUAGUUGGUGGGGUAAAGGCCUACCAAGGCGACGAUCCGUAACUGGUCUGAGAGGAUGAUCAGUCAUACGGGAACUGCGACAGGGUCCAGACUCCGACGGUAGGCAGCAGUGGGGAAUAUUGGACAAUGGGCGAAAGCCUGAUCCAGCCAUGCCGCGUGUGUGAAGAAGGUCUUCGGAUUGUAAAGCACUUUAAGUUGGGAGGAAGGGCAGUAAGUUAAUACCUUGCUGUUUUGACGUUACCAACAGAAUAAGCACCGGCUAACUUCGUG
Molecule: ribosomal RNA, 484 nt
Filed under: uncultured bacterium
Lineage: Bacteria
Description: partial 16S ribosomal RNA
Rfam family: Bacterial small subunit ribosomal RNA
Source: RNAcentral